RNAcentral lists this long non-coding RNA (245 nucleotides) under Vigna radiata. RNAcentral's name for it is "long non-coding RNA (VRAD_LNC013883)". The record is from RNAcentral. Lineage: Eukaryota; Viridiplantae; Streptophyta; Magnoliopsida; Fabales; Fabaceae.
GCCGAGACACCUUUUGCUGCUGGGCCGUGUGGCAAUUGGAAGCUGCUGUGAAGAUGCUUGGACGCGUGAUGCUUCAGCUGCACCACCUCUCAAGUUGCUGCCAUCACGUGAAGUUUGUUGAAUGCAACCUGCUGAAGCUCUCUAAAAAUUGUCGGCUGCUGCGUGCUUGGCCAGGUCGUGAAUGAGCGUGCUGCUUGAAGUGUUGGGCUGUGUAUGAAGAUGUUACGCCGUGUGUAGAGAUUUCA